AUGAAAUUCACCUUCUCAUAUGAUUGCCGCACAUUCAACUUCCUAGUUGACAAAGAAUUUGUGUUCCUCGUGGUAGCUGAUGAAGCAGCUGGAAGAAGUGUUCCAUUUGUGUUUCUAGAACGUGUCAAGGAUGAUUUCAUGCACCGCUAUGGACAAAGUAUCAGUGGUAACAACUCCCAUCCACUCAUUGAUGAGGAAGAUGCUGAUAUGUUUGGGGACAGAUUUAGCACUGCUUACAGUCUUGAUAGGGAAUUUGGUCCAAGGCUGAAGGAGCAUAUGGAGUAUUGUAUAAAUCAUCCAGAGGAAAUGAGCAAACUUUCAAAGCUAAAAGCUCAUAUAACUGAGGUUAAAGGAAUAAUGAUGGAUA
Molecule: long non-coding RNA, 367 nt
Organism: Zingiber officinale
Lineage: Eukaryota; Viridiplantae; Streptophyta; Magnoliopsida; Zingiberales; Zingiberaceae
Exons: 3
Source: RefSeq, a predicted model, not a curated record